GCCUGGGUGGCUCAGUUGGUUGAGCAUCUGACUUUGGCUCAGGUCAUGAUCUCGUGGUUUGUGAGUUCAAGUCCCGCAUCAGGCU
This 85-nucleotide transfer RNA is filed under the name Felis catus (domestic cat). It matches the Rfam family "tRNA". Rfam says of the family: Transfer RNA (tRNA) molecules are approximately 80 nucleotides in length. Lineage: Eukaryota; Metazoa; Chordata; Mammalia; Carnivora; Felidae. The record is from Rfam by way of RNAcentral.